Molecule: transfer RNA, 88 nt
Filed under: Candidatus Latescibacter sp.
Lineage: Bacteria; Pseudomonadati; Candidatus Latescibacterota; Candidatus Latescibacteria (ex Chuvochina et al. 2023); Candidatus Latescibacterales; Candidatus Latescibacteraceae
Description: tRNA-Ser
Rfam family: tRNA
About the family: Transfer RNA (tRNA) molecules are approximately 80 nucleotides in length. Their secondary structure includes four short double-helical elements and three loops (D, anti-codon, and T loops). Further hydrogen bonds mediate the characteristic L-shaped molecular structure. tRNAs have two regions of fundamental functional importance: the anti-codon, which is responsible for specific mRNA codon recognition, and the 3' end, to which the tRNAs corresponding amino acid is attached (by aminoacyl-tRNA synthetases). tRNAs cope with the degeneracy of the genetic code in two manners: having more than one tRNA (with a specific anti-codon) for a particular amino acid; and 'wobble' base-pairing, i.e. permitting non-standard base-pairing at the 3rd anti-codon position.
Source: RNAcentral
GGAGAGGUGCCAGAGCGGUUGAAUGGGGCGGUCUCGAAAACCGUUGAUGACUUGUCAUCCCAGGGUUCGAAUCCCUGCCUCUCCGCCA